AUUGAACGCUGGCGGCAGGCUUAACACAUGCAAGUCGAGCGGAGAGAGGUAGCUUGCUACUGAUCUUAGCGGCGGACGGGUGAGUAAUGCUUAGGAAUCUGCCUAUCAGUGGGGGACAACAUCUCGAAAGGGAUGCUAAUACCGCAUACGUCCUACGGGAGAAAGCAGGGGAUCUUCGGACCUUGCGCUAAUAGAUGAGCCUAAGUCGGAUUAGCUAGUUGGUGGGGUAAAGGCCUACCAAGGCGACGAUCUGUAGCGGGUCUGAGAGGAUGAUCCGCCACACUGGGACUGAGACACGGCCCAGACUCCUACGGGAGGCAGCAGUGGGGAAUAUUGGACAAUGGGGGGAACCCUGAUCCAGCCAUGCCGCGUGUGUGAAGAAGGCCUUAUGGUUGUAAAGCACUUUAAGCGAGGAGGAGGCUACUCUAGUUAAUACCUAGGGAUAGUGGACGUUACUCGCAGAAUAAGCACCGGCUAACUCUGUGCCAGCAGCCGCAGUAA
This 501-nucleotide ribosomal RNA is filed under the name uncultured bacterium. RNAcentral's name for it is "partial 16S ribosomal RNA". It matches the Rfam family "Bacterial small subunit ribosomal RNA", at positions 30 to 523 of the family's 1533-position model. The record is from RNAcentral.